RNAcentral lists this ribosomal RNA (264 nucleotides) under uncultured bacterium. RNAcentral describes it as "partial 16S ribosomal RNA". It matches the Rfam family "Bacterial small subunit ribosomal RNA", at positions 793 to 1055 of the family's 1533-position model. The record is from RNAcentral.
GUCCACGCCCUAAACGAUGAGUGCUAGAUAUCGGGAACUUAGUUUUCGGUUUCGCAGCUAACGCAUUAAGCACUCCGCCUGGGGAGUACGGUCGCAAGAUUAAAACUCAAAGGAAUUGACGGGGGCCCGCACAAGCAGUGGAGCAUGCGGUUUAAUUCGAUGUUACGCGAAAACCUUACCAACCCUUGACAUGGUGGUCGCGGAUCGUAGAGAUACUUUCCUUCAGUUCGGCUGGACCACACACAGGUGUUGCAUGGCUGUCGU